UCACUUUUCUAAAACUUACCGAAUGAUCACAGACAAAUGUGGAGCAACACGAGGUAGAGUGGGAAAAGAAAAAUUAAGAAGAUGAAGGGUGAAAGAGAGUAGAAAUUUGGUAGCAAUGAAGAGAAAAAUGACAAGAGGGUGGAGGGAUUUUGGGGAAAGUAAAAAAAAACAAGAAAAAAAAGAAGAAAAAAGAUGAACAGAAUAUUUGAUAACCACCCCAAUCCCUUUUUUCUCUCCAUCAAACUCCCCACUAAAUCCGCUACUCAGAUUUUUAGUCCAUCUCAAACUCUCCUGGACAUACGAGCAAAAAUAAUACUACCAAGAUUCGAGCACAAAACCUCCAUCGCAC
Molecule: long non-coding RNA, 349 nt
Filed under: Gossypium raimondii (Peruvian cotton)
Lineage: Eukaryota; Viridiplantae; Streptophyta; Magnoliopsida; Malvales; Malvaceae
Description: long non-coding RNA (GRAI_LNC000643)
Source: RNAcentral